This 2166-nucleotide long non-coding RNA is filed under the name Gallus gallus (chicken). RNAcentral describes it as "lncRNA (ENSGALG00010027560.1)". The record is from RNAcentral. Lineage: Eukaryota; Metazoa; Chordata; Aves; Galliformes; Phasianidae.
CAGGAGUUAAAUUGCUCAUUCAGGAAAGAAGUAGCCAAAAAUGGCCAAAGGAAGGCCCAGUGGGAGAAUCCAAAUGUUUCUUUCCCCUCAGUGUUAAAACUGCCAAGCCAAUUUGUUAGUAGAGAUAGCUCUUCCAAUGCAAAGUGGUGAGAACAGCUUGGCUUGGCUUGGCUUGGCUUGGCUUGCGUGAUGCAUCCAGUACAGAGACCUUGAUCUUCAAACCUGCAGUUAAUCCGUGCUCAAAAUGAGCUUUUUUCCCCCAGUAUGGUGCUAUCUCCAGACCUUCAGACUGAGCAUGAAGAAAAAAGGCAAUGAGAAACCCUCAGCUUUCAGCAGGGCACUUGUAGAGUCAUUAAGAUUGGAAAAGACCGCUAAGAUCAUCUAGUCCAACCAUCAACCCAUCCCCUCUGUGCACACAAAACCACAUUGAACUUGCACAAAGCAGUCAAUGAUUCCGUCAUUUCUUUUUCAGGGUAAAACAAGCCAAAUAUUCUUCAGGAAAUCUAGAAGUGUGUGUGGGGAGGGGGUUCUGCCCCUUCCUCCUCCAAGCCAUUUUUGCCUUAAUAUUUAGCUCCUCUCAUCGUUCAAGGACUUUAAUUAAACUUCCUUACAUUGGCAUCACUGCAUGUAAAAAGCAAACCUAAUUAUUAUGGAAUUCAUAGGAAACAGAAUCUGGGAUCCACUAAAAGCUCCUCUGAGAGGUGAACCUUGGAUUCAACAGCUCCUUGCUGGGGGGUGAAUUACGGGGCACGGGAGGAAUAUGGGAAAUAGGAACAUAGGAGGACGGACAACAGCUUCUGAAAGGCUGGGGCAGCUCCAAGGCAGCGCGCUGGAGCAGUCUGUGUUUCCCUUCCCACCCUACCAAGAGCAAAAGCAGUUUUUGGUGGGAUUUUGUCUUCUAGGGAGGAAAGGACACAGGAGGCUCAGGGUGAGGUGGGACGCCCUCAGCUAGAGCAAUGGCGGUGCUUGGGGCCGCGUGCCGACCAUCCUCUGUGCCACCACAACCUGCCCGUGUCCCUGGACGGCCUCAAUGAACCUCAUCCAACACCCAAAACUCUUUUAUUAAAAAAAAAAAAAAAAUCUUCCUUCCCUCAAUUAGAGGCAAAGGGAAAAAAAAAAGAAGAAUUGGGGUCAACGCGAAGCAGCCGUAUUUUAGCCGUCCUUUGGGAGCCGAUCUGCGCUCACACUGUGGGUGUUCUCAUUGCACACACUGAACAGGAGACGUUUUCCCUUAGUAGGACAGGCUCUGUGCUGCAGCCCUUCUCGCCCGGCCAUAAAAGGGCAGCGAUUUCGGUGCGACCCCCGGGCCCUCCCGGCCUGGUCGGCCGCAUCCCGGCGCUGCUGCUUCCAACCUCCUCGCCUUUGGCUCGCUCUUCUCUCACGCCUUUUGUUUUGUCUCUCUCCUCCUCUCUGGAGGCUGCAGGGAUUGAGGCCAGAGAGCCUCCAGGAAUGUUCUUGCCUUCCCUAUUUUUUUUUUUUCCCCUCUCUCUCUCUCUCUCUUGGCCUGAUGUGAUCCCUGCCUUUCCAUGCUCCCUGUGCCUGCCCAGAAAAUCAGUUGCUGGGUGAAAACCAGUUGCUGGGCCAGCAGUACAUCCCCAAAGGGUCGGCUGUCCCCCUUCAUCCUGUGGGUGAGGCCCUGCCCACCUGCAGGGCUCUUCCACCCCCUGCUCCGCUCUGUGCUGCGGCCUGAUUGGGUGCUGCCAUGUCAGAAGGACAUGGAGCUGUUAUGGAGCGUCCAAAGGAGGGCUGCGGAGAUGGGGAAGGCCCUGCAGCCCCUCACGGCCCUACAGCCCCUCACGGCCCUACAGCCCCUCACGGCCCUACAGCCCCUCACGGCCCUACAGCUCCACUCAGGGGAACAGAGGGACAGGUGCUUCCCUAGAGGAGCAAAACUAUGGGAAGACAAUGCGAAACAUCAGAGAUCAGUUAAACCAGGGCAGCGUGAACCUCUCCUGGUUCCCUAGGAUCAUUGCCAGGCCCCAUAUUGUUGCCCAUCUGCAGGAGAUGGCCCUUUUGUGGUACCCAUAUUUCUAUAUCACCAGGGUCUUCCUGCUUUUGUUCCUCACCUACCCUUAUCCCUAGGGCUUCCCUGUCACUGGAGAACCCAUCCAUUGAAAUCAUGGAAUCAUUAAGACUGGAAAAGACCUCUGAGAUCCCCAAGUCCAC